AAGACCCCAGAAAGACGAUCUGGUAGAUAGGCCGGAGGUGGAAGUGCAGUAAUGUAUGGAGCUGACCGGUACUAAUGGUACGAGGACUUGACCUAA
This 96-nucleotide ribosomal RNA is filed under the name Tindallia californiensis. Its description in RNAcentral is "23S rRNA. Bacterial LSU". It matches the Rfam family "Bacterial large subunit ribosomal RNA", at positions 2830 to 2925 of the family's 2925-position model. Lineage: Bacteria; Bacillati; Bacillota; Clostridia; Peptostreptococcales; Tindalliaceae. The record is from RNAcentral.